AUGGAAAAAAUCAAAUAUGCAUUGUCCAGUACACGAAGGCAGAGAAUCCUAGGCAUUUGUGGGAAUUUUCAUCUUGUGCAGGAAAGAGUUACUGGGGUAGGUUUCUGCAGCUGGAGGAUUAACCAAGUGAGCCAUGGUGCCGGCCCCCAUAUUGGACUUUUAAUAUACAUGAUUGUAAGGUAAUAAGUGUAUAUUGUUUUAAGAUGUCAUUUUUUAUUUUAUUUAUAUUUUACAACAUAAAAGUAAUAUGCCAUUUCAAUUAUUUAUUUAAAUUUUUUAUUAAUUUUAUUUUUAUUUAUUUUCAAGACUAAAAAGAGAGAUCUUAGAUUCACUGGCUUAUUCCCCAUAUGCCUGCAAUAGCUGGUGCUGGGCCAAGCCACAUCCUGGAGCCCGGAUCUCAUUCAAGGCCUCCCAUGUCUAGGGACCCUAGUAUUUGAGCCAUCCCUUGCCACCCUGCAGUGUUAGUAGGAAGCUGAAUUGAGAGAGGAGCUGUGUCUUGAAGCCAGGUAUUUUGAUACAAGAUGCUGGCAUUCCAAGUGAGAUCUUAAUUUGCUGUGCAAAAUGCCUGACCCUAAUCAUUCAUUUUAAACUUAACACAACUAUCCAUAUUCGGUCUAGUCCAUUUUUAGCUUUGUGGAUAUUGAUUGCUGACAAACAGGUAGUUUCUGGAUUGGUUUGUAAUAUUUAGUAUUCCUUAUUAUGAUAAUUUCUAUUACUGUUGUAUUUUUUCUUAAAGAUUAAAAACUAUGCUGGUCAGAAUUAUUUUCUUAUAGUGUAAGUUGAAAUAUUUUAUUAAUGUGCAUUUCAUGUGUUUUCUCUUAAAGAAAAAAAAGCUUUUUCCAUUAUAAUCAGCCUUCCACAUCCACAAGUUCUGCAUUAGUGGCUUCAACCAACAACAAGUCAAAAAUACUCAAAGCAAAUUGCACUUACACUGUAGAGACUCUUUUUCUUGUCCUCAUUCCCUAAACAAUGCAACUAUCUGCAUAACACUUAUGUUAAGAAUUUAAAGUAAUCCAGAGAUGAUUUAAACUUUGGAGUGGAUGUACUUUGGUUGUUGAAUAAUACCGUGGCAUUUUAUAGAAAAGGCUCCAGCAUCUGAGGCUUUGCUAUCUGUGGGGAUAAUGAGGGACAGAGCCUCCAGGGGCUGAGUGUCUAAUUGCCCCAUGCUAUGAGCUGUAGGUGG
RNAcentral lists this long non-coding RNA (1183 nucleotides) under Oryctolagus cuniculus (rabbit). Its description in RNAcentral is "lncRNA (ENSOCUG00000035193.1)". The record is from RNAcentral. Lineage: Eukaryota; Metazoa; Chordata; Mammalia; Lagomorpha; Leporidae.